Molecule: ribosomal RNA, 208 nt
Filed under: uncultured prokaryote
Description: partial 16S ribosomal RNA
Rfam family: Bacterial small subunit ribosomal RNA
Source: RNAcentral
ACGUAGGGUGCGAGCGUUAAUCGGAAUUACUGGGCGUAAAGCGUACGCAGGCGGUUGGGUAAGACAGGUGUGAAAUCCCCGGGCUUAACGUGGGAACUGCAUUUGUGACUGGCAGACUUGAGUGCGGCAGAGGGGGGUGGAAUUCCACGUGUAGCAGUGAAAUGCGUAGAGAUGUGGAGGAACAUCGAUGGCGAAGGCAGCCCCCUGG